GAUAAGAUGGCUGAAGUUUAUAGGUUGUAAAUUGUAAAUUUAUAUAUGGUAGAUAUACCUCUUAUCA
Molecule: transfer RNA, 67 nt
Filed under: Paraplea frontalis
Lineage: Eukaryota; Metazoa; Arthropoda; Insecta; Hemiptera; Pleidae
Description: tRNA-Tyr
Source: RNAcentral